Panaeolus papilionaceus is the source of this 91-nucleotide non-coding RNA. The record is from the annotation of a GenBank genome assembly. NCBI's taxonomy places the organism in Eukaryota, Fungi, Basidiomycota, Agaricomycetes, Agaricales.
GGUUCAGUGGUCUAGUGGUUAUGAUUUCUGUCUCACAUUGAGCCCAAUUGGCGAACACAGAAGGUCCCCGGUUCGACCCCGGGCUGUACCA